This 333-nucleotide unclassified non-coding RNA is filed under the name soil metagenome. RNAcentral's name for it is "partial contains 5.8S ribosomal RNA, internal transcribed spacer 2, and large subunit ribosomal RNA". The stretch from base 3 to 119 matches the Rfam family "5.8S ribosomal RNA", at positions 38 to 154 of the family's 154-position model. The record is from RNAcentral.
GAGAAGAACGUAGCGAAAUGCGAUAAGUAGUGUGAAUUGCAGAAUUCAGUGAAUCAUCGAAUCUUUGAACGCACAUUGCGCCCCUUGGUAUUCCAUGGGGCAUGCCUGUUCGAGCGUCAUUUGUACCUUCAAGCUUUGCUUGGUGUUGGGUGUUUGUCCAUUCUCUUGCAGAGGGACUCGCCUUAAAGUAAUUGGCAGCCAGUGUUUUGGUUUUGAAGCGCAGCACAAGUCGCGAUUCAACGCUAUACGCCAGCUUCCACAAGCCUUUUUCACUUUUGACCUCGGAUCAGGUAGGGAUACCCGCUGAACUUAAGCAUAUCAAUAAGCGGAGGA